Molecule: long non-coding RNA, 315 nt
Organism: Orcinus orca (killer whale)
Lineage: Eukaryota; Metazoa; Chordata; Mammalia; Artiodactyla; Delphinidae
Exons: 3
Source: RefSeq, a predicted model, not a curated record
AGGCAGGGAAGGCAUUCAGGACAAUGGAGCCAUUUCUUCUGGGGUCUCCUGCCAUGAGGCAAUGCCCAACUGAAAAAUAGAUUUGGAGAGCACUUUCAGAGUGAUGGACUAGUACAAACCCAGAUCUCUGGGUGUAUCCAAGUUCACAGGUAACAUCCUGACUGGGCCCACCUGUGAAUGGGUACAAGAAGGAAGAAUUAACACAUCCCCUUGGAGUCUGGCCAGAACCAGUAAAUAUUUGCAACCACUUAUUGCCUUUUUUGCUUUACCUCUUCACCAUCCCCGCUUUGUUCUAUAAAAGUAACUAGCAUCCAA